Molecule: long non-coding RNA, 341 nt
Filed under: Rattus norvegicus (Norway rat)
Lineage: Eukaryota; Metazoa; Chordata; Mammalia; Rodentia; Muridae
Description: long non-coding RNA NONRATT025956
Source: RNAcentral
AAAAGACUGAGUAUUAUACAUUGUCCAGGACACCAAAAAGGGCACAACCCAGAGGCACGAAGAAACCGGCUGGCCGAUGCCACGGCGCGAGAAGCGGCCAUGAACAAACAAAUCUUGACCUUAAAUAGCCCAGACCAACCCACGCCCCCACCAGUGGGACAAACCAGUUGGGUUUAUGCCCAUGAGGACAUAGAGCUCCUAAAAAAAUGGGGGCCAUCUACCACCCUCAACUAAAACAGUGGGUCUACAAAGAAAAGACAGUUAUGCCAAUAAAAAUGAUUUUUAAAUUGAUCUCCUUUUUACAUAAAUUAACCCAUUUGGGGUUUAAGAAGAUAAAAACC